This 253-nucleotide ribosomal RNA is filed under the name uncultured bacterium. RNAcentral describes it as "partial 16S ribosomal RNA". It matches the Rfam family "Bacterial small subunit ribosomal RNA", at positions 524 to 776 of the family's 1533-position model. The record is from RNAcentral.
UACGUAGGGCGCUAGCGUUGUCCGGAUUUAUUGGGCGUAAAGAGCGUGUAGGCGGCUCGGUAGGUCUGGUGUGAAAACUCGAGGCUUAACCUCGAGAUGUCAUCGGAAACCAUCUGGCUAGAGUCCGGAAGAGGAGAGUGGAAUUCCUGGUGUAGCGGUGAAAUGCGCAGAUAUCAGGAAGAACACCAAUGGCGAAAGCAGCUCUCUGGGACGGUACUGACGCUGAGACGCGAAAGCGUGGGGAGCGAACAGG